GACGAACGCUGGCGGCGUGCUUAACACAUGCAAGUCGAGCGGUAAGGCCCUUUCGGGGGUACACGAGCGGCGAACGGGUGAGUAACACGUGGGUGACCUGCCCUCAGCUCUGGGAUAAGCCUGGGAAACCGGGUCUAAUACCGGAUAUGACUCCAUGACGCAUGUUGUGGGGUGGAAAGCCUUGUGCGGCUGAGGAUGGGCCCGCGGCCUAUCAGCUUGUUGGUGGGGUGAUGGCCUACCAAGGCGACGACGGGUAGCCGGCCUGAGAGGGCGACCGGCCACACUGGGACUGAGACACGGCCCAGACUCCUACGGGAGGCAGCAGUGGGGAAUCUUGGACAAUGGGCGCAAGCCUGAUCCAGCCAUGCCGCGUGAGUGAAGAAGGCC
RNAcentral lists this ribosomal RNA (387 nucleotides) under uncultured bacterium. RNAcentral describes it as "bacterial SSU rRNA". It matches the Rfam family "Bacterial small subunit ribosomal RNA", at positions 28 to 416 of the family's 1533-position model. The record is from RNAcentral.